RNAcentral lists this ribosomal RNA (439 nucleotides) under uncultured bacterium. RNAcentral describes it as "partial 16S ribosomal RNA". It matches the Rfam family "Bacterial small subunit ribosomal RNA", at positions 338 to 795 of the family's 1533-position model. The record is from RNAcentral.
CCUACGGGUGGCAGCAGUGGGGAAUAUUGCACAAUGGGCGAAAGCCUGAUGCAGCAACGCCGCGUGAGUGAUGAAGGCCUUCGGGUCGUAAAGCUCUGUCCUCAAGGAAGAAAAUGACGGUACGUGAGGAGGAAGCCCCGGCUAACUACGGGCCAGCAGCCGCGGUAAUACGUAGGGGGCUAGCGUUAUCCGGAAUUACUGGGCGUAAAGGGGGCGUAGGUGGUUUCUUAAGUCAGCGGUGAAAGGCUACGGCUCAACCGUAGUAAGCCUUUGAAACUGGGGAACUUGAGUGCAGGAGGGGUGAGUGGAAUUCCUAGUGUAGCGGUGCAAUGCGUAGAUAUUAGGCGGACCACCAGUUGCGAAGGCGGCUCUCUGGACUGUAUCUGACACUGAGGCACGAACGCGUGGGGAGCAAACAGGAUUAGAUACCCUGGUAGUC